RNAcentral lists this transfer RNA (66 nucleotides) under Lepidostoma fui. RNAcentral's name for it is "tRNA-Ser". The record is from RNAcentral. Lineage: Eukaryota; Metazoa; Arthropoda; Insecta; Trichoptera; Lepidostomatidae.
AAUUAUUAAGCUUUGCAUAGCAUUUGUUUUGAAAACUUAAGAAAGAUUACUAAUAUCUAAUAAUUU